This 497-nucleotide ribosomal RNA is filed under the name uncultured bacterium. RNAcentral's name for it is "partial 16S ribosomal RNA". It matches the Rfam family "Bacterial small subunit ribosomal RNA", at positions 28 to 507 of the family's 1533-position model. The record is from RNAcentral.
GAUGAACGCUGGCGGCGUGCCUAAUACAUGCAAGUCGAGCGAACAGACGAGGAGCUUGCUCCUCUGACGUUAGCGGCGGACGGGUGAGUAACACGUGGAUAACCUACCUAUAAGACUGGGAUAACUUCGGGAAACCGGAGCUAAUACCGGAUAAUAUAUUGAACCGCAUGGUUCAAUAGUGAAAGACGGUUUUGCUGUCACUUAUAGAUGGAUCCGCGCCGCAUUAGCUAGUUGGUAAGGUAACGGCUUACCAAGGCAACGAUGCGUAGCCGACCUGAGAGGGUGAUCGGCCACACUGGAACUGAGACACGGUCCAGACUCCUACGGGAGGCAGCAGUAGGGAAUCUUCCGCAAUGGGCGAAAGCCUGACGGAGCAACGCCGCGUGAGUGAUGAAGGUCUUCGGAUCGUAAAACUCUGUUAUUAGGGAAGAACAAAUGUGUAAGUAACUAUGCACGUCUUGACGGUACCUAAUCAGAAAGCCACGGCCAACUGCGUG